Molecule: long non-coding RNA, 2789 nt
Filed under: Sorghum bicolor (sorghum)
Lineage: Eukaryota; Viridiplantae; Streptophyta; Magnoliopsida; Poales; Poaceae
Description: long non-coding RNA (SBIC_LNC002200)
Rfam family: MIR5387 microRNA precursor family (bases 2487-2580)
Source: RNAcentral
UUCUCUUAAUCUCAGUCUUAACCAAACAAGUUAGAACAUUAUAUUCAAUCUUGGGAAGAUGAUAGUCAUACUUAUUUGAAAAUAUAUAUAGAAAUAGACAAUCCUUCCAUUGGUUAAGCAAUUUCAUUAUUUUCUGACAUGUGAACUUAAAUGCAACAUUAAAUGCUUAAUCUUUUGAUCUUACUACUCAUAAAUAAAUAAAUAAAUCAUGUAACACAACUUUAUCUUGUUUACUGUGCCUAAGGAUAGAGAAAAAUAAAUAAAGAAAUAGAUUUGGUUCUGUUGAUGUUUUUCCACCAGCAGAGCCCAUGCACUUGAUCUCUACCUUAGUUUUGCAAACAGAACAACACAUCAAGCAAAGUUUAUUAAUUCUACAAGUGAAAGUUCCGUGAAGAUGCACACUGAGCAAGAUGCUGCCAGCUGCUAUUAAAGCUCUACUUCAACUUUCUAACCAAAUCAAAGAACAAAAGUUACAUUACCAUCAUUAGAGGUGUGCAACCAUCAAGACCUCCAUCUCUCAAGAUGGAGAGAUACACAAGAGUGGAAGAAGAAGACCUAUCGAUAAAACUUUAAAUUUUACAUUAUUGCCAUAAGGUAAUAUGGUAGUUAUCUAAUUAAUUAGUAUUCCUAUAUGCAUUAAUAAUUUCACUUUAAUAUUUUCAUCUCCAUAAAUAUUAAAAAAUAAAAUAAAAUAAAUCUUUAUUGCUUCAUUUACUGCAUCAUAGAAUAUUAAAAGCUCUAUAGGAAUAAACUUAUAGUAACCCUAUAGGAAUAUUUACUGUGGUGACAUAAAGAAUAAUAAUAAUAGUUUCUGUAUUUAUUUUCUUGCAUUAUGAAAAACCUAAGCCCCAUAAGAAUAAAUAUUUUCUGUGGAGGCAUAAAAAUACAACUAUCUAUAUAUAUCAUGCACACAUAUUUAAUUUCUACAUAACUAAACUAGAAAGAGAGAAUCCUGCUAGAACUUGUCAAUUUAAAAUCAACUUAUAAGAAUAAUCAAUUACUUAUUGGCUGAUCUACCCUAUUAUUAAAUUCGAGCCUCGAGUUUUGGUUUUCUUUUUGGAGUGUAAUUAUGCAGAAACAACAUUAUGACGAGAGAGUCUAUUAGUGGCACCCACCUGGGGAGCGCUACCAGCUAGCUCACUCUGAAGACCAUCACACCAACUAUUGCAAACAUCUAGCUUGGGGGAGGAGCAUCCCCUAGUUAUCAGGUAGCUAUACCUAAGCGAUUAUCGAGUCUAUUUUAUAUUGUCAUAAAAUAUCAAAAAUAUGUGAGCACAUGAAGGUUCACAAUAAUAUCAUAAGAAAAUAUAAAAGUACCAAAAUAUAUGGGCAUAUGAAGGUCCAUGUCUUUAGAGUCUUUUGAGUCCAUUAGAAAUGAAUAAAAACCAAACAAAAUACUUAUCUAUAUAUUAAGGUGUGAUCAUAGAGUGUGUCUAUAGUCAGUCUAGUUUAGAGUCAAAUAAAAAUUAGAGAAUAUUAAAGUUCUGUCUUGGAGAUGAUGAAUAGUUAAUUCCUUUCAAGUGCCUAGUUUUCAACCAUAAAUUUUCCCAAGAUUUAGACAUGACCACUUUAAGAAUUUACUCUGAAUCUAAAAUUUCUGGAGGCAUAUGUUUAAGCUAAGUCUAGGUGAUUGCUAUUAUGCAUGAAGGUCUAAGCUGCUAUUUAUCUUAUUCCUAGCAUUACUAAGUUCUGGAGAUUUAUUUUCAAAAACCCAAAAUCCUAUAUCAUGAGCUCUUGUAUGAUAAAUUUUAAAUUUGAGCCAUAUAUGAUACAUUUGGAGUUAGGAAAACCUUUGCACAUUCGUGCUGCUUGCUUUACAUUGAGUUUAGUCAACCUUUGGAGUAUACCUUAUGAGAGUCUUGUCAUGCUUUUAAAAUCAAGAUCACUCACGCACUCCACCUACAUAUGCAUUGCUCCUACUCUGGGAGUAAGCGCAAUUAUUUUCCAUUUUCAUCUAGAUCCACCUUAAAAAUGUUUUUUCUCCUACACUAAGAGUAAACACCCAAAAAUAUACCCUAUAGGACAGCCCACAUUUAAUUGCUCUAAGUUCGAUCACUAUCUCUCUGAUUAUUUAAUUCAAAGGAUGCAUGUGGCUAUGCAAAAGUAUUAAAAAAGAAAGAAAGAAAGAAAAAAUAAAAAAAAGAGGAAGUAAAAGAUGGACAAGUGCCCAAGCAAUUAAAACAACGGGUACAUUGAUGCCCGCCUCCCACAGUAAUGAAAAAAAGAGAAUAAAGAUAGCCCAUGGUUUCCCGCGACAUGUUCUAAGUUUUAAAGGAGGAAGUAAUUUUCAAAGAGCAAAAGUAGAAAUGGGAUUAGCCACUAAAUACUAUAUAUGCACCUAUCCACCAUAUUCCAUACCUACGCACUAAAUACUAUAUAUGCACCUAUCCACCACUACUACAGAAUGAGGCAUUGGUCGAUGCCCAAAAUGGCCAAAAACCUCGGCCUUUUUGCGGCCCGGGGUUAAAGACCCCUUUAGCACCGGUUUGUAACACGAACCGGUGCUAAAGGGUCCUGCCCAAUGGCUACUGACAGGUGCUGUCAGGGCAGGAACCCUUUAGCACCGGUUGGCAACACGAACCGGUGCUAAAGGCUCCUCUUUAGCACCGGCCAGCGCGACGGGCCGAGGCAAACCCUUUAGCACCGGUUUUUGCCCUAAACCGGUGCUAAAGGUCCGCUUUAUAGGCCGGCUCCCUCCUCCCCUCUGCCCAUUUGAAACCGAUAGCACCAUUGUUGUUCUUGGAGCUUCUUCUUGCUUGUUCUUCAUUUGUUCUUCAUCUCCAACGCCC